Molecule: ribosomal RNA, 459 nt
Filed under: uncultured bacterium
Lineage: Bacteria
Description: partial 16S ribosomal RNA
Rfam family: Bacterial small subunit ribosomal RNA
Source: RNAcentral
CCUACGGGCGGCUGCAGUGAGGAAUAUUGGUCAAUGGUCGGGAGACUGAACCAGCCAAGCCGCGUGAGGGAUGAAGGUACAGAGUAUCGUAAACCUCUUUUGUCAGGGAACAAAGGCGGGGACGCGUCCCCGGAUGAGUGUACCUGAAGAAAAAGCAUCGGCUAACUCCGUGCCAGCAGCCGCGGUAAUACGGAGGAUGCGAGCGUUAUCCGGAUUUAUUGGUUUUAAGGGGUGCGCAGGUGGUCUGUUAAGUCAGCGGUCAAAGCCCGGGGCUCAACCCCGGCACGCCGUUGAAACUGGCAGGCUCGAGUUGGAGAGAGGUAGGCGGAAUGCGCGGUGUAGCGGUGAAAUGCAUAGAUAUCGCGCAGAACUCCGAUUGCGAAGGCAGCAUGCCGGCUCCACACUGACGCUGAGGCACGAAAGCGUGGGUAUCGAACAGGAUUAGAUACCCCAGUAGUC